Molecule: transfer RNA, 75 nt
Filed under: Labeo batesii
Lineage: Eukaryota; Metazoa; Chordata; Actinopteri; Cypriniformes; Cyprinidae
Description: tRNA-Leu
Rfam family: tRNA
About the family: Transfer RNA (tRNA) molecules are approximately 80 nucleotides in length. Their secondary structure includes four short double-helical elements and three loops (D, anti-codon, and T loops).
Source: RNAcentral
ACUGGGGUGGCAGAGCGUGGCAAUUGCGAAAGGCCUAAGCCCUUUUUACCAGAGGUUCAAAUCCUCUCCCCAGUU